Molecule: transfer RNA, 69 nt
Filed under: Onychodactylus zhaoermii
Lineage: Eukaryota; Metazoa; Chordata; Amphibia; Caudata; Hynobiidae
Description: tRNA-Met
Rfam family: tRNA
About the family: Transfer RNA (tRNA) molecules are approximately 80 nucleotides in length. Their secondary structure includes four short double-helical elements and three loops (D, anti-codon, and T loops).
Source: RNAcentral
UGGUAAAAUAAGCUAAAAGCUUUUGGGCCCAUACCCCAAAUAUGUUGGUUAAAAUCCCUCUUUUACUAA